Molecule: transfer RNA, 77 nt
Filed under: Clostridiales bacterium
Lineage: Bacteria; Bacillati; Bacillota; Clostridia; Eubacteriales
Also listed under: 1 other name
Description: tRNA-Val
Rfam family: tRNA
About the family: Transfer RNA (tRNA) molecules are approximately 80 nucleotides in length. Their secondary structure includes four short double-helical elements and three loops (D, anti-codon, and T loops).
Source: RNAcentral
GCGGGCUUAGCUCAGCUGGUUAGAGCGCGUGCUUCACACGCACGAGGUCACUGGUUCGAGUCCAGUAGUCCGCACCA